This 460-nucleotide ribosomal RNA is filed under the name uncultured bacterium. RNAcentral describes it as "partial 16S ribosomal RNA". It matches the Rfam family "Bacterial small subunit ribosomal RNA", at positions 338 to 795 of the family's 1533-position model. The record is from RNAcentral.
CCUACGGGUGGCAGCAGUGAGGAAUAUUGGUCAAUGGACGAGAGUCUGAACCAGCCAAGUAGCGUGAAGGAUGACUGCCCUAUGGGUUGUAAACUUCUUUUAUAAAGGAAUAAAACGAGGCACGUGUGCCUUUUUGCAUGUACUUUAUGAAUAAGGAUCGGCUAACUCCGUGCCAGCAGCCGCGGUAAUACGGAGGAUCCGAGCGUUAUCCGGUUUUAUUGGGUUUAAAGGGAGCGUAGAUGGGUUGUUAAGUCAGUUGUGAAAGUUUGCGGCUCAACCGUAAAAUUGCAAUUGAUACUGGCAGUCGUGAGUACAGUUGAGGUAGGCGGAAUUCGUGGUGUAGCGGUGAAAUGCUUAGAUAUCACGAAGAACCCCGAUUGCGAAGGCAGCUUACUAAACUGUGACUGACAUUGAUGCUCGAAAGUGUGGGUAUCAAACAGGAUUAGAUACCCUGGUAGUC